This 509-nucleotide ribosomal RNA is filed under the name uncultured microorganism. RNAcentral describes it as "bacterial SSU rRNA". It matches the Rfam family "Bacterial small subunit ribosomal RNA", at positions 9 to 524 of the family's 1533-position model. The record is from RNAcentral.
GAGUUUGAUCCUGGCUCAGGAUGAACGCUGGCGGCGUGCCUAAUACAUGCAAGUCGAGCGAACAGAUAAGGAGCUUGCUCCUUUGAAGUUAGCGGCGGACGGGUGAGUAACACGUGGGUAACCUACCUAUAAGACUGGGGAUAACUUCGGGAAACCGGAGCUAAUACCGGAUAACAUUUAGAACCGCAUGGUUCUAAAGUGAAAGAUGGUUUUGCUAUCACUUAUAGAUGGACCCGCGCCGUAUUAGCUAGUUGGUAAGGUAACGGCUUACCAAGGCGACGAUACGUAGCCGACCUGAGAGGGUGAUCGGCCACACUGGGACUGAGACACGGCCCAGACUCCUACGGGAGGCAGCAGUGGGGGAUAUUGCACAAUGGGGGGAACCCUGAUGCAGCGACGCCGCGUGGGUGAAGGAGCGUUUCGGCGCGUAAAGCCCUAUCGGCAGGGAAGAAGAUGACGGUACCUGACCAAGAAGCCCCGGCUAACUACGUGCCAGCCGCCGCAGUAAC